Molecule: ribosomal RNA, 391 nt
Filed under: uncultured bacterium
Lineage: Bacteria
Description: bacterial SSU rRNA
Rfam family: Bacterial small subunit ribosomal RNA
Source: RNAcentral
GAUGAACGCUAGCGGCAGGCCUAAUACAUGCAAGUCGAACGAGAUUGGUAGCAAUACCAUGAAAGUGGCGCACGGGUGCGUAACACGUAUGCAAUCUACCUUUAAUUGGAGGAUAGCCUCGAGAAAUCGGGAUUAAUACUCCAUAACAUUAUGAAGUGGCAUCACUAUAUAAUUAAACCUCCGGGGAUUAAAGAUGAGCAUGCGCAACAUUAGCUAGGUGGUAAGGUAAUGGCUUACCAAGGCUACGAUGUUUAGGGGUCUGAGAGGAUGAUCCCCCACACUGGUACUGAGACACGGACCAGACUCCUACGGGAGGCAGCAGUAGGGAAUAUUGGGCAAUGGAGGAAACUCUCGACCAGCCAUGCCGCGUGCAGGAUGACGGCCCUCUGGG